CAGGUCCUGCUUGGAAUGACUUUACAGCAGAGGAGAGGGUAACAUAUCUUCAUUGUUUAUGAAAAUGACAGCUCCUAAUGGACCAUAUUAGCUUUAACACAAACUAUUAAAUCCCCUUCAUUAAAUUUUUCUGCAUUCGGUUUCAGCGUGUCUCAUUAGCUCUGGGAAGUAGGUGCAAAGUCCGAGGGAAACGCAAGCACACAUUGAGACGAUUACGGAUCAUGGUUAUUAGCGUGGUGAUUCUCGUUGGCCAGGCUUCCUUUCCAACCGAGUGAACGCACUUUUCGAGUGGGCACUAAUGUGUAAACGGCAAAGAGGAGGCUUCGCGCUCCUGCCCACGCACCCAGCUGCACCCGGAGAGCUCGCCUCUCUCCCACCCUGCAGCACCGCUGCUCCGCCACGGGGGAGACUAAUGGAGCAGACUGAGCAC
This 430-nucleotide long non-coding RNA is filed under the name Suricata suricatta (meerkat). Its description in RNAcentral is "lncRNA (ENSSSUG00005008333.1)". Lineage: Eukaryota; Metazoa; Chordata; Mammalia; Carnivora; Herpestidae. The record is from RNAcentral.